CCGCGUGAGUGAAGAAGGUUUUCGGAUCGUAAAACUCUGUUGUUAGGGAAGAACAAGUGCCGUUCGAAUAGGGCGGCACCUUGACGGUACCUAACCAGAAAGCCACGGCUAACUACGUGCCAGCAGCCGCGGUAAUACGUAGGUGGCAAGCGUUGUCCGGAAUUAUUGGGCGUAAAGCGCGCGCAGGUGGUUUCUUAAGUCUGAUGUGAAAGCCCACGGCUCAACCGUGGAGGGUCAUUGGAAACUGGGGAACUUGAGUGCAGAAGAGGAAAGUGGAAUUCCAAGUGUAGCGGUGAAAUGCGUAGAUAUUUGGAGGAACACCAGUGGCGAAGGCGACUUUCUGGUCUGUAACUGACACUGAGGCGCGAAAGCGUGGGGAGCAAACAGGAUUAGAUACCCUGGUAGUCCACGCCGUAAACGAUGAGUGCUAAGUGUUAGAGGGUUUCCGCCCUUUAGUGCUGCAGCUAACGCAUUAAGCACUCCGCCUGGGGAGUACGGUCGCAAGACUGAAACUU
Molecule: ribosomal RNA, 515 nt
Filed under: Rossellomorea marisflavi
Lineage: Bacteria; Bacillati; Bacillota; Bacilli; Caryophanales; Bacillaceae
Description: bacterial SSU rRNA
Rfam family: Bacterial small subunit ribosomal RNA
Source: RNAcentral